This is a transfer RNA of Egretta garzetta (little egret), 72 nucleotides long. It matches the Rfam family "tRNA". From Rfam's summary of the family: Transfer RNA (tRNA) molecules are approximately 80 nucleotides in length. Their secondary structure includes four short double-helical elements and three loops (D, anti-codon, and T loops). The record is from Rfam. NCBI's taxonomy places the organism in Eukaryota, Metazoa, Chordata, Aves, Pelecaniformes, Ardeidae.
AGAAACUUAGGAUCACUAUUAAACCGAAGGCCUUCAAAGCCUUAAACAAGAGUUAAACCCUCUUAGUUUCUG